AAGUCGUAACAAGGUUUCCGUAGGUGAACCUGCGGAAGGAUCAUUAAUGAAAUUAUGACUGGGGUUGUAGCUGGCCUAUAAAACGGCAUGUGCACGCUCCUUUCACAAUCCACACACACCUGUGCACCUUCGCGGGGGUCUUUUUAUUCUCUUCGGGGGAAUAAAGGCUCGCGUCCCUUUACACACCCUUUGUAUGUCUUAAGAAUGUCUACUCGAUGUAAUAAAACGCAUCUAAUACAACUUUCAACAACGGAUCUCUUGGCUCUC
RNAcentral lists this unclassified non-coding RNA (267 nucleotides) under Stereum ostrea. Its description in RNAcentral is "partial internal transcribed spacer region". The stretch from base 1 to 46 matches the Rfam family "Eukaryotic small subunit ribosomal RNA", at positions 1786 to 1831 of the family's 1831-position model. Lineage: Eukaryota; Fungi; Basidiomycota; Agaricomycetes; Russulales; Stereaceae. The record is from RNAcentral.